AAGGGAGACCUAAUUCGGGUAGGAGACGAAAAAAAAGUAGUCCCUACCAAGAAUCAAUCCCAAAAGGUCGGAGCGAGGCGAAAUUGGCUUUCAAACUAGGUUCUGGGUUCACACAAGACCUGAAUCAGGAACAAGGGCUAUUAGCUCAGGUGGUUAGAGCGCACCCCUGAUAAGGGUGAGGUCCCUGGUUCGAGUCCAGGAUGGCCCACCUGCACAGGUGGCAAAAACAAAGAAAAAAAGCUCCGAAUCAGCACCUUAUCUUACUUAUAUAGUAAGAGAGAAUGCUGGCUCUGAGUUCAGAGUCCAGAGGAACCUUGAAAACUGCAUAGAGCUAGGUGAAAAAGCCAAAAAAGAAGACCGUCA
This 363-nucleotide transfer RNA is filed under the name uncultured cyanobacterium. Its description in RNAcentral is "16S-23S ribosomal RNA intergenic spacer". The stretch from base 135 to 208 matches the Rfam family "tRNA". The record is from RNAcentral. Lineage: Bacteria; Bacillati; Cyanobacteriota.